Drosophila melanogaster (fruit fly) is the source of this 1374-nucleotide non-coding RNA. The record is from Ensembl. Lineage: Eukaryota; Metazoa; Arthropoda; Insecta; Diptera; Drosophilidae.
GUCGGAUGUAGACAACAAUCGGCAGCAGAACAGAACACAUCACAAGGUAGACAGAUCUAGUUGGGGACAUACUUAUACCCCGUGCAUCGACACUACCUACCUGUAUUCCCUAAACUCCUGAGAUUCCGGGCGACAUGUGGAUGACGGGAAGCAAGCAGCGGCGGUGCAAUUUUAGCAGUAGCAGCAGAAGGAAUGUGGCAAGAAGGACAUUUGGCAGUUGUAAAAACAAGUUUCCAAUCGUUAUGCAUUUUGCUUGGAUUUAUUUAUAGACGCGGUAUUUGUUUUAAGUAUUAAAUACAUGAGAGAUACAAUUAAACAACAAAAGAGUGUACGCGAGUGUUGGUUCUUACCAAUUAUUCAAAUGGAAACAAAUCAAUUAAGUUUUAAAGUCAUCGUAAAGUGAUCGAACAUAAAAACAUAUCGGGUAAACAUAAACAUGACAGAUAAAAGACAGAUAAGACUUAAAACGAAGGUCGCAUGAGUUUUUAUGAUUAAUUUUUUAGUAAAGCUUCUCGCCACAAAGGAAAACGUGUAACAAAAAGUAUUAAAAUUGGCGGCAAAAGCGGCAUUUACUUUCGAGUUUCGUUUGGAUUUUGUACACGAAAUGUAUGAUUGAUUGCUGGCGAUCGAGUACGAAAGUGUGUGACAAACAAUAGAGUAAGGAAACGAAUUAGUAAUAAUAAAAAGCGGUAAUAAAAAAUGAAUAAUAAAAUCUCAUGCAACAUCACUACAAAAUAAAUAAAAUUCAAUUAAACGUAAAUUCAAUUAAAGUAAACAAUACAAUAAUCAUUUUAACAUCGUCUACUAUCGAAGUCAUCAUAAGAUGGACUGAAGGACUGGAGCGUACGACUGUCUGUUCGGAGUUUCUGGUAAAAGUCAUAUAUGCUGUAAUGUAUCUUAAAGCCUCCUGUCGAAGCCUUUCUAACAAUGAUUUCACUUUCAGGGGGACUACGGAACCUUAAUCAUUGCUUAAAAGCCGAAAUCUGCCUGGCAGCUAAAUAUAAAUAUAAAUCUCGGUGCAUCUAUGAAUCACAGAGGCUCGCGGCUUGAUGACUGAACAGCCGUAACUGAUUAAUCUAAUUAAAUUCUUUUCUGCACCAUAAACAGAAUCAUCAAUUCAUGUUCUUUUCUAAUGACCAAGAGGAUGAGUCGCCCGACUAACAUCGGUAUAUCUCUCAUCUCUGCCUGAUCCACCUUAUAGACAGCAGUAGCAACAACAAGAGGUAAUUUAUCAUGAUGUUUUCCUAUAGAACCUAGAACCAAGAUAUGUUCUAGGUACCUAUAAACCAUCCACGUAUGCCUAAGCAAAUAUAUUUAUUCUGUUUCGGUGCUUUUGUGUUUUAUUGAAAGAAAAUUGAAAUAAAUUUCAAGAUU